Molecule: small RNA, 95 nt
Filed under: Shigella sonnei
Lineage: Bacteria; Pseudomonadati; Pseudomonadota; Gammaproteobacteria; Enterobacterales; Enterobacteriaceae
Description: RtT sRNA
Rfam family: RtT RNA
About the family: This family represents a bacterial cis-regulatory element known as RtT RNA. The exact function of RtT is unknown although it is thought that it may be involved in changing the cellular response in relation to amino acid starvation.
Source: RNAcentral
AAGAUUCGAACCUGCAGCAGGUUCGAGUUGAGCGCAGCGAAACAACGGAGCCGCUCGCGGCGACGGCCCGAAGGGCGAGCGAAGCGAGUCAUCCU